CGUGGAGACAGGUGGUGCAUGGCUGUCGUCAGCUCGUGUCGUGAGAUGUUGGGUUAAGUCCCGCAACGAGCGCAACCCUUGUCCUUGGUUGCCAGCAUUAAGUUGGGCACUUUAAGGAGACUGCCGGUGUCAAACCGGAGGAAGGUGGGGAUGACGUCAAGUCCUCAUGGCCCUUAUGUCCAGGGCUACACACGUGCUACAAUGGUCGAUACAAAGGGUUGCGAAACCGCGAGGUGGAGCUAAUCUCAAAAAGUCGGCCUCAGUUCGGAUUGGAGCCUGCAACUCGACUCCAUGAAGUCGGAAUCGCUAGUAAUCGUGGAACAGCAUGCCACGGUGAAUACGUUCCCGGGCCUUGUACACACCGCCCGUCACACCACGAAAGUCUGCUGUACUCGAAGUCGCUGAG
This 406-nucleotide ribosomal RNA is filed under the name uncultured Methylomirabilota bacterium. RNAcentral describes it as "bacterial SSU rRNA". It matches the Rfam family "Bacterial small subunit ribosomal RNA", at positions 1027 to 1434 of the family's 1533-position model. The record is from RNAcentral. Lineage: Bacteria; Methylomirabilota (SeqCode).